RNAcentral lists this unclassified non-coding RNA (255 nucleotides) under soil metagenome. RNAcentral's name for it is "partial contains small subunit ribosomal RNA, internal transcribed spacer 1, and 5.8S ribosomal RNA". The record is from RNAcentral.
UUUCCGUAGGUGAACCUGCGGAAGGAUCAUUACCACACCAAUCUCGGGGAAACCCGAUUCCGUUACGUGGAACGAACUAUUUCUGGGCGAGUGGCCUUCGUGUCACCAACCCUACUUUCUAUCCUCUUGAGCAAUCAAGUCGAUACACCAACACAUUCUGAUAGUGACGAUUCAUAAGGCCGUGGCUUCAGCAAUGAAACCCUGCCGUAACAUGAAACGUAUACAACACUUUCAGCAACGGAUGUCUUGGCUCCC